Molecule: long non-coding RNA, 794 nt
Organism: Mustela lutreola (European mink)
Lineage: Eukaryota; Metazoa; Chordata; Mammalia; Carnivora; Mustelidae
Exons: 3
Source: RefSeq, a predicted model, not a curated record
GAAAUCUGGGUUACUGACUUGGAAACCAAAUAAUAGGGAUGAAUGAAUGGACCAGAGAGUAAAGAGUCUGCACAUAAAGGGAAACUCCUUCUGACUGCAUCUUUCAUGCUGCUGGACAUUAGGAUCCCGGCAGGCAGACUCAGCUCUUAGGUUCGGUUGCCCAGUAACCAGAGGAUGCACAGAUUUCCAUUUUUACCUUCUUUCUGAUUCAGGAAAGUCUUUUUUUUUUUUUUUUUUAAAUUCCUUUUUAAACAGAAGGAUUAAAGAACAACCCCCCACCCCGCCCCACCCUCGCCCUCCACAUUAAGGUCGAACCAAUCCCUUUCACCUGUUGGUGGCUAAAGUGUUUGAAAGGACCCCUGUUUUAAAACAGGUACGAUGUUAGGAAAUCGUCGGGGCAACGUCGGGAUGCAGACAGAGGGUGGUAAGAGUUUGGAUUCCCUGGAAAUGAGGGAACCGGGAUCAACCCAACUGGUCUUCUGCAGGAGUGUCGGACUGGGGAAGAGUCAGGUUGGCCAGGCUGUGCACUUUGCACCAGGUGCACGACAUAAUAAUCCGGUAUUUGUAUGUCCUGCAGUCAGCUGAUCCACUUACGAAGCAAGAGUUGAGAGUCGAGCCCCGAACUGAUUCCCUCAAAACCAGCCAUCCUUAUGUUCCCUUGGGAAAACUUAAUGGCCCUCGGGAGACAUGUGUUUUUCAGUUGGAAGGGCUCGCCUCUAGGGCACGCCCCCCAAAUCCUCGAUAUCCUUAUCUGUUACAUGUUUUCCUCAAGGUUAAUAUAGAAUUACCGUUCA